GGUUGCGAUCAUACCAGCACUAAUGCACCGGAUCCCAUCAGAACUCCGCAGUUAAGCGUGCUUGGGCGAGAGUAGUACUAGGAUGUGUGACCCCCUGGGAAGUCCUCGUGUUGCAACCC
RNAcentral lists this ribosomal RNA (119 nucleotides) under Helianthus annuus (common sunflower). The record is from RNAcentral. Lineage: Eukaryota; Viridiplantae; Streptophyta; Magnoliopsida; Asterales; Asteraceae.